Molecule: ribosomal RNA, 530 nt
Filed under: uncultured bacterium
Lineage: Bacteria
Description: bacterial SSU rRNA
Rfam family: Bacterial small subunit ribosomal RNA
Source: RNAcentral
AAUAGAUACCCGGGUAGUCCUAGCUGUAAACGAUGUGAACUUGGUGUCGGUGGGGUAAAACCUAUCGGUGCCGAAGCCAACGCGAUAAGUUCACCGCCUGAGGACUACGGCCGCAAGGUUAAAACUCAAAGGAAUUGACGGGUGCCCGCACAAGCAGCGGAGCGUGUGGUUCAAUUCGAUGCUACACGAAGAACCUUACCUGGGUUUGACAUAUACGUGGUAGAGAACGGAAACGGGAUCGACCCUUCGGGGAGCGUAUACAGGUGCUGCAUGGCUGUCGUCAGCUCGUGUCGUGAGAUGUCCGGUUAAGUCCGGUAACGAGCGCAACCCCUGCUGUAUGUUACAUGUGUCAUACGGGACUGCCGGUAUCAAGCCGGAGGAAGGUGGGGAUGACGUCAAGUCAGCAUGGCCUUUAUAUCCAGGGCUACACACACGCUACAAUGGUCGGUACAACGGGUUGCAAGACCGCAAAGGUGGAGCCAAUCCUCAAAAUCGGCCUCAGUUCAGAUUGCAGGCUGCAACUCGCCUGC